CGUAGGGUGCAGGCGUUAAUCGGAAUUACUGGGCGUAAAGCGUGCGCAGGCGGUUUGCUAAGAGAGAUGUGAAAUCCCCGGGCUUAACCUGGGAACUGCGUUUCUAACUGGCAAGCUUGAGUGCGGCAGAGGGGGGUGGAAUUCCACGUGUAGCAGUGAAAUGCGUAGAGAUGUGGAGGAACACCGAUGGCGAAGGCAGCCCCCUGGGUCGACACUGACGCUCAUGCACGAAAGCGUGGGGAGCAAACAGGAUUAGAUACCCUGGUAGUCCACGCCCUAAACUAUGUCAACUGGUUGUCGGGGAAGCAAUUCCUUGGUAACGAAGCUAACGCGUGAAGUUGACCGCCUGGGGAGUACGGCCGCAAGGUUA
RNAcentral lists this ribosomal RNA (370 nucleotides) under uncultured organism. RNAcentral describes it as "bacterial SSU rRNA". It matches the Rfam family "Bacterial small subunit ribosomal RNA", at positions 526 to 896 of the family's 1533-position model. The record is from RNAcentral.